This 31-nucleotide non-coding RNA is filed under the name Mus musculus (house mouse). The record is from RNAcentral. Lineage: Eukaryota; Metazoa; Chordata; Mammalia; Rodentia; Muridae.
UAGGCACAAUAAGAGAUUAACAAUGAUUGUA